RNAcentral lists this unclassified non-coding RNA (337 nucleotides) under uncultured bacterium. Its description in RNAcentral is "contains 16S-23S intergenic spacer region". The record is from RNAcentral.
UCCGGUUUGUCACCGGCGAGGGUUGCGCUCGUUGCGGGACUUAACCCAACACCUCACGGCACGAGCUGACGACAGCCGUGCAGCACCUGUGCACGCUCCCUUGCGGGUCCUCGGUGUCUCCACCUCGUACCACGUGCAUGUCAAGCCUGGGUAAGGUUCUUCGCGUUGCGUCGAAUUAAACCACAUGCUCCGCUGCUUGUGCGGGCCCCCGUCAAUUCCUUUGAGUUUUAGCCUUGCGGCCGUACUCCCCAGGCGGGGCGCUUAAUGCGUUAGCUGCGGCACAGAGAACCGGAGAGGUCCCCCACACCUAGCGCCCAACGUUUACAGCGUGGACUAC